GAUGAACGCUAGCUACAGGCUUAACACAUGCAAGUCGAGGGGAAACGAUAUUGGAAGCUUGCUUCCGAUAGGCGUCGACCGGCGCACGGGUGAGUAACGCGUAUCCAACCUGCCCACCACUUGGGGAUAACCUUGCGAAAGUAAGGCUAAUACCCAAUGAUAUCUCAAGAAGACAUCUGAAAGGGAUUAAAGAUUUAUCGGGGAUGGAUGGGGAUGCGUCUGAUUAGCUUGUUGGCGGGGUAACGGCCCACCAAGGCGACGAUCAGUAGGGGUUCUGAGAGGAAGGUCCCCCACGUUGGAACUGAGACACGGUCCAAACUCCUACGGGAGGCAGCAGUGAGGAAUAUUGGUCAAUGGGCGAGAGCCUGAACCAGCCAAGUAGCGUGCAGGAUGACGGCCCUAUGGGUUGUAAACUGCUUUUAUAAGGGAAUAAAGUGAGCCUCGUGAGGCUUUUUGCAUGUACCUUAUGAAUAAGGACCGGCUAAUUCCGUGCCAGCCGCCGCGGUAA
Molecule: ribosomal RNA, 508 nt
Filed under: uncultured bacterium
Lineage: Bacteria
Description: partial 16S ribosomal RNA
Rfam family: Bacterial small subunit ribosomal RNA
Source: RNAcentral